RNAcentral lists this ribosomal RNA (559 nucleotides) under uncultured bacterium. RNAcentral describes it as "bacterial SSU rRNA". It matches the Rfam family "Bacterial small subunit ribosomal RNA", at positions 364 to 917 of the family's 1533-position model. The record is from RNAcentral.
UUGAANUGGGCGCAGCCUGAUCCAGCAAUGCCGCGUGUGUGAAGAAGGCCUUCGGGUUGUAAAGCACUUUUAUCAGGAACGAAACACUGUCGGCUAAUACCCGGCGGGACUGACGGUACCUGAGGAAUAAGCACCGGCUAACUUCGUGCCAGCAGCCGCGGUAAUACGAAGGGUGCAAGCGUUAAUCGGAAUUACUGGGCGUAAAGCGUGCGUAGGCGGUUUGUUAAGUCUGUUGUGAAAUCCCCGGGCUCAACCUGGGAAUGGCAAUGGAUACUGGCAAGCUAGAGUGUGUCAGAGGAUGGUGGAAUUCCCGGUGUAGCGGUGAAAUGCGUAGAGAUCGGGAGGAACAUCAGUGGCGAAGGCGGCCAUCUGGGACAACACUGACGCUGAGGCACGAAAGCGUGGGGAGCAAACAGGAUUAGAUACCCUGGUAGUCCACGCCCUAAACGAUGCGAACUGGAUGUUGGUCUCAACUCGGAGAUCAGUGUCGAAGCUAACGCGUUAAGUUCGCCGCCUGGGGAGUACGGUCGCAAGACUGAAACUCAAAAAAAUUGACGGA